This 227-nucleotide ribosomal RNA is filed under the name uncultured bacterium. Its description in RNAcentral is "partial 16S ribosomal RNA". It matches the Rfam family "Bacterial small subunit ribosomal RNA", at positions 383 to 607 of the family's 1533-position model. The record is from RNAcentral.
CUGAACCAGCCAAGUAGCGUGAAGGAUGAAGGUCCUACGGAUUGUAAACUUCUUUUAUAUGGGAAUAAAGUAUUCCACGUGUGGAAUUUUGUAUGUACCAUAUGAAUAAGGAUCGGCUAACUCCGUGCCAGCAGCCGCGGUAAUACGGAGGAUCCGAGCGUUAUCCGGAUUUAUUGGGUUUAAAGGGAGCGUAGGUGGAUUGUUAAGUCAGUUGUGAAAGUUUGCGG